ACUGGGAGGCGGGAAGCCGGGAGGCAGGAAGUUGGGAGAGCUGAUGAGGCGGGUGGUGAUUGGUCAGCCGGUUGCCGGGUGGGAGGUGGCUGUGGCUGGGAGGGAAGGCCAGGACGGUAUGUAGAGUGAAAGAUAAGGGAGUCCCUUUGUGGGGGAGGGAAAGAGAGCUUUCACGAUAGGGGCAGAGUUUUCCAAACAGUGACAGUCUUGCUCUGUCACACAGGCUGGAGUGCAGUGGCUUGAUCAUAGCUCACUGUAACCUUAAACUCCUGGGCUCAAGAGAUCCUCCCACCCCAGCCUUCUGAGUAGCUAGAACUACAGGUGUGCAUCACCAUGCCCGGCUAAUUUUUAAAACAUUUUUGUAGAGAUAUGGUUUCACUACGUUGCCCAAGCUGGUCUUAAACUUCUGGACUCAAGUGAUCACCUGCCUUGGCCUCCUAAGGGCCUCGACCUCGGCAUGAGCCACAACCUCCGCUUCCUGGGUUCAGCUGAUUCUCCUGCCUCAGCCUUCUGAGUAGCUGGGACUACAGGAGCUUGCCACCAUAUUUGGCUAAUUUUUGUAUUUUUAGUAGAGACAGGGUUUCACCAUGUUGGCCAGGCUAGUCUGGAACUCCUGAUUUCAAGUGAUCUGUCUGCCUCACCCUCCAAAAGUGCUGGGAUUAGAGGUGUGAGCCACCACGCCUGGCUGUUUUGUUUGUUUUGAGAAAGUGUCUUACUCAACAGGUGCGGCAACUCACACCUGUAAUUCCAGAACUUUGGGAGUCCUAGGCAGGUGGAUCACCUGAGGUAGGGAGAUUCAUCCUGGCUAACACGGUGAAACCCUGUGUCUGCUAAAAAUACAAAAGAUUAGCUGGGCUUGGUGGCACCUGCCUGUUAUCCCAGCUACUUAGGAGGCUGAGGCAGGAGAAUCGCUUGAACCCAGAAGGUGAAGAUUGCAGUGAGCCGAGAUGGUACCAUUGCACUCCAGACUGGGCAACAGAAGCAAAACUUCGUCUCAAAAAAAGAAAGGUUCUUGCUCUGUUGCCCGGGCUGGAAUGCAGUGGUGCAAUCAUAACUCCCUGCAGCCUUGACCCAGGCUCAAUUGGUCCUCCAGCCUCAGCCUUCCAAAUAGUUGGGACCACACACUUGUGCAACCACUCACUGCUAAUUUUUUUUUUUUAAAGACAGAGUUUCACCAUGUUGGUCAGGCUGGUCUUGAACUCCCGACCUCAGGUGAUCUGCCCACCUCGGCCUCCAAAGUGCUUGGAUUACAGGCGUGAGCCGCCACACCCGGCCUCACCGCUAAUUAAAAAAAUUUUUUUUUUUUUGUAGAGAUGGGGACUAACUCCGCCCAGGCUGGGCUGCUGAUUUUUCAAGCCUACAGCUGCAGGUAGCUGCAGAGCGUCAACCUCGUGACUUCCACUUCCAGUGAUACUCUCACUUUGUCACCCAGGCUGGAGUGCAGCAGUGUGAUCUCAGCUCACUACAACUUCUACUUCCCACGUUCAAGUGAUUCUCUUGCCUCAGCCUCCCUAGUAGGUGGACUUGUAAGCAUGUGCCACCACGCCCAGCUAAUUUUUGUAGUUUUAGUAGAGAUAGGGUUUUGCCAUGUUGGCUGGGCUGGUCUUGAACUCCUGACCUCAAGUGAUUCUCCUGCCUCAGCCUCCCAAAGUGCUGGGAUUACAAGAGUGAGCCACCAUGCCUGGCCUUUUAUAUAUUUUCUAUGAGAAACAUAGGUACUUGUAACUUUUAUAAUAUUUAUAAAAGAUAUAAAAAACAAACAUCAUACUUGUUAUGAAAUCAGAGGAGUAAGUGAAGGAAAAUAACUAGCUUAGGGCAGUGGAAAGGGCAGGAAGAGAGGUGGAAGGUAGGAAGACAGCUUUGGAGAGAAUGGCGGCAGUCUGGGUUAUAGAGGCCUAAUAUAAAGUGAUGGGGAUGAGGGAGAGAUUGACAGGUACGAUGACAUGGAGUUGGUGAGUUCUACUUGUGGAGGUGGCCUUGCUGUGGUGACAGCAUGGGGAAUAUGAGCAGCUGAACUGUUGUGCAGGAGGCUGGAACUGGAGAUAAGAUGUGUGCUGAGAUAGCACAGGGAAGUAAGUGGGGGUUGCAGGAAAGAACAAUGAAUACUUUUAUUAUUUAUCUAUUUAUUUAUUUGAGACAGGGUCUCACUCUGUCUCCCAGGCUGGAGGACAGUGGUGCGAUCUCGGUUCGCUAUAACCUCUGCCUCUUGGGUUCAAGUGAUUCUCCUGCCUCAGCCUCCUGAGUAGCUGGGAUUAAGGGUGUGAGCCACUGUGCCCUCCCCAGGUUCUGAAUCAUUUCAAUUCACUGCUGUUAAUUUCGCUUUACACCAAUGCAGCUCUCUAGUGAGUGACUGGAAAUUCAGUUUUAGUGCCCAAGUAUUGUCACCUCCAGCCCCACCCGAAGGAUACCCCACAACUGGGAUGCAUCCUUCAGGUUGUCAUGAAGUUGACCCUAAGGAGUAUGAUUCAUGGAGGUUGUAGAGCUCAUAAAGAAAAGAGUCAAAUGUGGAUAUUAUCUGGGAGUCUUUGGGACACAGGCAUCUCUCAUGGGAGACAGUCUCGUGUCAGAAGGUUCAAUCCUAUGGGACUGCACAGUUAUGCAGCAUCUCAGAGCCACGGCUCCACGUCCCUGUCUUGGCUCUCUCUGGCCCAUCAUUUCCUCCACUUGAAACACUUUCCACCCAUUCUUCUCAAAUGUCACUUUUUUUAGAAAUUCUUCCCACCCCCACACCCUGUCAUCAAAAUGAAUGGUCUUUCCCUAUGGGUUUGUGUUUCCAUUUGUUUAUCUAUUCAAUGAAUCUUUUUUUUUUUUGGAGACAGAGUCUUGCUCUGUCGCCAGGCACUAGACUGGAGUGUAGUGGCGUGAUCUCAGCUCACUGCAACCUCCACCUCCCAGGUUCAAGCAAUUCUCCUGCCUCAGCCUCCCGAGUAGCUGGGACUAUAGGCGCAUGCCACCACACCCAGCUAAUUUUGUAUUUUCAGUCGAGACAGGGUUUCACCAUGUUAGCCAGGAUGGUCUUGAUCUCUUGACCUUGUGAUCCACCCACCUUGGCCUCCCAAAGUGCUGGGAUUACAGGCAUGAGUCACCGCGCCCAGCCUCAAUUAAUACUUUUUUUUUUUUUUGGGACUAAAUCUCACUCUGUGGCUGAGGCUGGAGUGCAGUGGAGUGAUCUCUGCUGACCGCAACCUCCGCCUCUUGGGUUCAGGCAUUUCUCCUGCCUCAGCCUCCCAAGUAGCUGGGAUUACUUGGGAGUCACCAUGGCUGGCUAAUUUUCGCAUUUUUAGUAGAGACAGGGUUUCACCAUGUUGCCCUGGCUGGUCUGGAACUCCUAACCUCCAGUGAUCCUCCCACCUCAGCCUCCUUACAGGUGUGAGCCACUGUGCCUGGCCUCAAUUCAUACUUAAAUUGCCUUUAAGGAGUUUAUGGUCUGGAGUUGGGUGCUAUGCAACACAGUCACUAUGUGUGGUAAUUUAAAUUUUAUUUUUAUUAUUAUUUUUUGAGAUGGAAUUUUGCUCUUGUUGCCCAGGCUGGAGUACAAUGGUGCAAUCUCGGCUCACUACAACCUCCAACUACCGGGUUCAAGCCAUUCUCUUGCCUCAGCCUCUCAAGUAGCUGGGAUUACAGGCAUGCACCACCACACCAGGUUAAUUUUGUAUUUUUAGUAGAGAUGGGGUUUCUCCAUGUUGGUCAGGCUGCUCUUGAACUCCUAACCUCAGGUGAUCCACCUGCCUCAGCCUCCCAAAGUGCUGGGAUUCCAGGCAUGAGCCACUGCACCUGGCCUAAAUUUUAUUUAUUUAUUUGGAAGCUCUGUAAUCCAAGGCUUGAGUGCAGCUGUGCCAUCUCUACUCCCUGAAGACUCUGUCUUUUGGGCUCAAGCAAUCCAAAAUUUUAAUUAAAAUUAAAUAAAAAAUUUUAGGCCAUGCAUGGAGGCUCACACCUGUAAUCCCAGCCCUUUAGGAGGUUAAGGUGGGAUCGUUUGAGGCCAGGAGUUUGAGCCCAGCCUAGACAACAUGGUGAAACCUUGUCUUUACUAAAAUACAAAAAUCAGCCAGGCGUGGUGGUGCACAUCUGUAGUCCCAGCUACUCAGGAGGCUGGGGUAAGAGAAUCACUUUAACCCAGGAGAUGGAGGUUGCAGUGAGCCAAGGGUGUGCCACUGUACCCCAUCUUGGGUGACAGAGUGACACUCUGUCUCAGAACAAAACAAGACAAAGAAAUUGCCUUAGGUGCACCUGCCACAUUUAAAGUGCUCAACAGUCAUAUGUGGCUAGUGGCUACUGUAGUGAACAGCACUCACACAGAAUAACUCCGUUACCAAAAUGCUAUUGGACAGCACUCUACAGGAGAGAAUAGAGACAGACACCACCUGUGUUACACACACACAUAAAAUGGAUUAAGGGAAAUAAGGUAAUAAUAGCGAGAGGGACUGCUUGGCUACUUUAGAUUGAGGGGCCAGUGAAAAGUUCAGGCAGGUAACAUUUAAGCGGGGAUAAAAAUGAAAAGGAGAAAAGUGAAAAUAGUGGGAUGAGGGAAGCUAGACGGAGAACACAGCCAGGAAAAAGGCCGUUGGGUUGAGGCAGAUUGCAAAGAAAGCUCUCAUGGCUGGGGCUGAGUGAGCAGUGGAGAGAGUGGUGGAAGAAAUCUGUGGGGUAGGUCAGAGCCAGAUCACUAGGGCUUCAAUAAUUUGAGUAAAGAUUUAGGAUUUUUUUUUUUUCUGAGAGAGGUAUGAGAGGGUUAUAAGUGGGGAAUGAUGUGGUCUGAUUAUAUAUUUACCUCGUUCCGAUUUCAUUAGUUACUUACCCAUGUCCUGCCCGAUUGCACAAUUCUGGAUUUUUCACAUCCUUAGUAUAUUGAGCCAUGUCCCAUUAGCUCAAUGUAUUAGUACAAGUGGUAGAAGUAGAUUAUGCCAAAUUAAAAAAAAUCUUUUUCUUUUCCCUUAAGAAACAGGGUCUUGCUCCAUCACCCAGGCUAGCAUGCAGUGGCAUGAUCAUAGCCUCCAACUUCUGGGGUCAAGCAAUCCUCCUGCCUCAGCCUCCUGAGUAGCUGGGACUACAGGCAUGUACCACCAGGCCUGGCUAAUUUUUUUGGUUUUUGCAGAGAGUGAGUCUUGCUAUGUUUUUCCCAGGCUGGUAUCAAACUCCUGACCUCAGGUGAUCCGCUCGCCUCGGCCUCCCAGUGUUGGGAUUACAGGCAUAAGCCACUGCGCCCAGCAAGAAAUGAAUUUUUAUUUUUAUUUUUUUGAGAUGAAGUUUUACUCUUGCUUCCCAGGCUGGAGUGCAGUGGCGUGAUCUCUGCUCACUGCAACCUCUGCCUCCCAGGUUCAAGGGAUUCUUGUGCCUCAGCAUCUCAAGGAGCUGGGAUUAUAGGCAACUGCUACCACGCCCAGCUAAUUUUUGUAUUUUUAGUAGAGAUAGGGUUUUGCCAUGUUGGCCAGGCUGGUCUUGAACUCCUGGCCUCAGGUGAUCCACCUGCCUUGGCCUCCCAAACUGCUGGGGUUACAGGCGCGAGCCAGUGCGCCUGGCCAAGAAAUGCAUUUUUAAACGCUGCCAUGCAAAACACUUACAGGCCAAAUUUCAUCUGGGUCACCAGUUAGUAGCAUCAGAUAUCAUGACAGAGUACAGAGGCUGCAGGAGUCCGGGGUUCUCACUCCUCGGUAGCCUGCAGUAUGCCAAGACUAUCCACUUUCCCACGAAGCCUGUCAUAAGCUGCAAGAUAGAGAGCACCACUGCCUCCUUGGAAGUUGCUCAAUUCUUAGACCAGAAGAGGAGUGAAUGAAGUACUAGGCAAGCUUACUCAUGUUUGUAUGGUUUAAUGAUCAAGAGCAGAGUUCAACAGCCAGAUUUAAUGCGUGUGGGUCCUUGACAUAGAGCCUGCUGUAUAAUAACUUCUCCAAAAUCCUUAGCUAGUGCUAUUAGUGCCUAUGUAGGUUUAGUUUUCGAAGUUCUUCCAUGGUUGUUUUUGCUUAUUAUACCAAUCCCCAGUGGGAGAUAGAGGAAGUAUUUUUAGUGCUAUUUUACAACUGAGGAAAUAGGGGUUUGAAGAGGUUCAGGAACUCUCAGGGUCACCCAGCAUUGUGAGUGAGAGAGCUUGGAUCUGAACGUGUUUGCUCCAGUUUCCUGAAGCUUCUGUUUCCUGCAGCAUUCUCUUGAAAUCCCUUGGUAAGGUGCAGUCUGAAUCGUUGUCCAGAGAAUGAAAGGUCAGGUGCAGUGAUUCACAUUCACUCUUAAUUCCUCUUGCUAAUGGCAAACUUGGUAAUGUGACUGUUAAGACUGGGGAUGGGCCGGGCACGGUGGCUCAAGCCUGUAAUCCCAGCACUUUGGGAGGCCGAGGCGGGUGGAUCACGAGGUCAAGAUAUCGAGACUAUCCUGGUCAACAUGGUGAAACCCCGUCUCUACUAAAGAUACAAAAAAGUGGCUAGGCAUGGUGGCGCGUGCCUGUAAUCCCAGCUACUCAGGAGGCUGAGGCAGGAGAAUUGUCUGAACCCAGGAGGCAGAGGUUGCGGUGAGCCGAGAUCGCACCAUUGCACUCCAGCCUGGGUAACAAGAGCGAAACUCUGUCUCAACAACAACAAAAAGACUGGGGAUGAGUUGUGGUGACUGAGCAGGAAGAGCGCCGCGUCCAUCAGAGGCCCAUUUUCCUCAGAAAAGCAAGUGCAUCUCUGCCACUGGAAGACUGGCCUUAGCGCUUGUGCUGCUAUUGAGCCACACGGGUUCUCUGCUUCCAGUUUCCUUUCUGUUCCCCAAUUUCCUGUAUCAGGACCAGGAGUCAGUUUGGAGGCUGUAAGUGGGGAAUAAGCUGGGAAAUCAGGGGCUGUUUCUUCCCUGUCCUUUGGAAGGCACAGAGCUCUCAGCCACAGAAAACUAACAAACAGAGCUCUGAAGCCGUUUUGUGUAUGGUCUUGUCUCAUUCCCAGCAGAGCAGGCUCAUAUAAAUCAUCCAGUCAGGUGAAAAGAGAAGUUGCAAUCUGAGAAUUAAGACUUGAUCGGAUACCAUCUGGUGGGGGGAACCAACCAGUCUGUCUGCUCAUUUUCCUUCAGGUCAGCCCCAUAAUUCCUUCAGGUCAGCAUCCUCAAUUUCCUUCAGGUCAGCAUCCUCAAGUGGUCAUCUUAAGCCUCAUCCUACUUUUUUUUUUAAUUGCAUUUUAGGUUUUGGGGUACAUGUGAAGAACAUGCAAGAUAGUUGCAUAGGUACACAUGUGGCAGUGUGAUUUGCUGCCUUCCUCCCCUUCACCUAUACUGGCAUUUUCCCCCAUGCUAUCUCUCCCCAACUACCCACCCCCCGCUGUCCCUCCCCAUCAUUUUCAGCAAACUGACACAAGCCUCAUCCUACUUCUAGCAGGUAAGUGAGUACACGCCCUCAGCAGGAAGAAGGGAGUAAAGGGGGUCUAGAAGCCAGGAGGAUGGGGUAGGGGAAGGGGAGGGGACGGUGGUGGUGGCUGAAUGUAGAUGUUCUUUGGGCACCAUUGGAUGGCUAGGAGUUAACUAGUGAGCAGGACCAGAAUAAAGUUUUACGCCAAAGAAAUUGCUUAGCUGCUAUGAAUUACAACAUUCAUGGCUAAAUGAACAAGGCAAGAUGCAGCACAGUGUGUCACAUGUGGCCAUUUGUGUUUAAAUAAAAGGAAUGGCUAGAUGUAUAUGCAUAGACACGUAUAUAGGUAAUGGUAACUGUGGGUACUGUGGGAUGGGGGUGGAGGAUGGGAGGUGGAGAGAGAGUUAACCCGCAUUGUAUUCUUUUGUGCCUUUUGAUUUUUUUCAACUACAUUCAAUUCUUUCUCUCUCUCUUCCUCUUUCCUCCCUCCCUCCCUCUCUUUCUUUCUUUCUUCUUUCUCUCCUUCCUUCCUUUCUUCUCACUCCUUCCUUCUUUUCUUCUCUCUCUUUUUUUUU
Molecule: long non-coding RNA, 7881 nt
Organism: Callithrix jacchus (white-tufted-ear marmoset)
Lineage: Eukaryota; Metazoa; Chordata; Mammalia; Primates; Cebidae
Source: RefSeq, a predicted model, not a curated record